CUUGAGCUGCAACAGAUUUCCACAACGAUUUUCACGUUGUUAACAACCUUAUUAUAAUGACAAAAUGAAACAUUUCUUCACAUACUAUUGUUAUUUAACACUGUAAAUUACAGUAAUUAGUGGUUUGGGAUGCAUUUAAAAAAACGGAGGUAUUAACCAAUGGGUAGCAGUAACUUUGCUCUGUGUUACAAAGGUCACUCAAAUCAGGAACUAACAUAUGCUGUCAUUUGUCUCAACCACUAUUGCGGCUAUAAGGAUCCUGUCAGCAAUGGAAGGCUAAGGAAGGAAAACGGAUCACAGCGCCACCAUACAUGACUUCCUGAAGCAAAAUGGGCGACGUCAUACCAGGAAAGCCAUGUGAUUUUUUUGUAACCUCAUUGUUUUGAAGCAGGGAUAAAAUUGAUACUCCGUGCUCACUGCUCAAGCCUGCCAGUGGAGGGUCUUUAGCCAAUGGGAUUGCUCAGGUGAAGUGACAUCAUCUCCCAAAUCCGUGGUGUGACUGGAGUGUGCAUCAUCACAGUGCUUUGUGAAUAGUUAAUGAGAACACUGGCCAGGGACCAAUCAGGACUCAGGACAGAGAUUACUCCAGGGACUGGCUUAAGAAAUCAAUAAUGCACACACGCACACACACACACACACACACACAGGGCCUGAGCAAAUUGACUGUCUCUGCUCUGAACAGGCUGCUAUAGUAGCACAAAUACAACCAACCCUCUGAACACCUGUCAAAGAUACACGGCUGGUAAACAAGCCUAGCACAUGGCUGGCUAAAUGGAUGAUGUCACCUUUUUGAUUACAUUGCUUUUAGAAUAGUUUGAAAUUGCUUUUAGAUUAGUUUGAGAGAGAGAUUUGUUCGAGAGAAAUAUCUUCGGUCAUCAUCAUGGCCAUGUGUAUUCCCCCUCAAGCCGACACCUCGGCGGCUUUCAAGGAACUACAGUGUUCAAACUGGAAACCGCAUAUCCUGAGGCCGCAUGUAUUGUAGCUGGGGAAUUUUAAUAAAGCAAAUUGGAGGAAAAUGCUACUGAAGUUUAUCAACAAAUCUCCUUCGCUACACGCUCGUCGAGUACUCUUGACCAUUGCUACUCCCCUUCGGCAAAUCAGAUCACGCCUCUAUUCUGCUCCUCCCCUCCUAUCUCUUCCUAUCCCAGUCUGUUGUCCAUUUUUCCUGUGCCCAAGAAAGCGAAGGUAACUGAAAAAAAUGAACAUCGCCCCAUAGUACUCAUUUCUGUCAUCAUGGCUAGAUAAGGAUCAUAUCACCUCCACCUUACCCGAUACCCUAGAUCCACUACAAUUUGCAUACCGCUCCAACAGAUCCACGGAUGACACAUUCGUCAUCGCACUGCACACUGCCCUAUCCCAUCUGGAAAAGAGGAAUACCUAUGUAAGUAUGCUGGUCAUCGACUACAGCUCAGCCUUCAUCACCAUGACCGUCCGAGCUCACCACUAAGCUCAGGGCCCUGGGUCUGGACCCCUCCCUGUGAAAUUGGGUUCUGGACUUCCUAACGGACCGACCCCAGGUGGUGAAGGUAGGCAACAACACGUCCGUUACGCUGAUCCUCAAUACGGGGGCCCCACAAGGGUGCAGGCUCAGCCCCCUCUUGUACUCCAUGUUCACCCAUGACUGCAUGGCCACGCACGUCUCCAACUCAAUCAUCAAGUUUGCAGAUGACACUACAGUGGUAGGCUUGUAUACCAACAACGAUGAGACAGCCUACAGGGAGGAGGUGAGGGCCUUGGCGGAGUCGUGCCAGGAAUAUAACUUCUCCCUCAACGUCCAAAAAAUGAAGUACCUGAUCAUCGACUUCAGGAGACAGAAGAGAGAGCACGCCCCCAUCCACAUUGACGGAACGAAAAGCUUCAAGUUGCUCGGCGUGCAAAUCAUUGACAACCUGAAAUGGACCAUCCACACAACGUGGUGUAGAAGGCGCAACAGGACCUCUUCAACCACAGGAGGCUGAAGGAAUUCAGUUUGGCCCUUAAGACCCUCACAAACUUCUACAGACGCACCAUUGAGAGCAUCCUGUCGGGCUGUAUCACCGCCUGGUAUGGCAGUUGCACCGUCCGCAACCACAGGGCUCUCCAAAGGUUGGUGCGGUCAGCCCAAUGCAUCACCGGGGGCACACUGCCUGCCUUCCAGGAGAUCUACAGCACCCAGUGUCACAGGAAGGCCAAGAUCACCAAGCACCUGAGCCAUCCGAGCCACGGCCUGUUCACCCUGAAACCAUCUCAAAGGCGGAAACGGUACAGGUGCAUCAAAGCUGGGACUGAGAGACUGAAAGACCAUCAGUCUGUUAAAUAGUCACCACUGCCCAGUACCCUGCCCUGAACUUAGUCACCGUUACUAGCCGGCUACCACCCGGUACUCUACCCUGCGCCUUAAAGACUGCUGCCCUAUGUACAUACAGAAUCAUUGAACACGGAUCACUUUAAUCAUGUUUACAUACUGUUAUACCAACUUCUAGUCAUGGCGUAUCCUAUAUACCUACUGCUGUACACACCUUUUCUAUUCAUAUACUGUCCAUAACACAUAAUAUUUCUUCUGAUAUUCAUUCAGAUAUUUCUUCAUUUCUUUCUUUUUAUUUCUUGGAUUUGUGUGUAUUGUUAGGUAUUACUGCACUGUUGAAGCUAGAAACAUAAGCAUUUCGCUGCACCUGCGCUAACAUCUGCAAAUGAUGUGUACGCAUCCAAUAUAAUGUGAUUUGAAAUACUUCUAUGAAUUAAUUAUAAAGCUACGGUAGCCUACAGUUGAAGUUGGGAACAACUUCUGUAUGCAUAUGGGAUAGAAUAAAUAGCCUAUUUCACUUGAAACCACAGUCUCAGGAGAGGCUUGUGAUACUGUAAUAAAGGUUGUUAUUGUUACGGGUUUGAUAACCUGUGAGGGGGAAUAGAGGUGAGCUAAGCCUUUUGACAGGGAAGGUUCUGGUGAUUCACUGCCAGUUGUGAUGACUCACCCUUAAUUGCUGAAGAAGCAGACAUUUAAGCUUGAGGGAUUUAAGUUAAGUAGAACAGAUAUUCAAUAGUAGUCCACUAAUGAUAAAACACUAUAGACUGUUACAAAAGUGUAAUAAACAAUAUGUUUUAUUAUUUGUGUGAAUUGAGUCACAUUCACAUUUUCACUAAUGUACUACACAUAUUUCAUUUCAAUAUAUCUACUACCCAAUACCAGAAUGUAUUAGUUUGCAGAACCAAAUAGGCUUGAAAGUAGUCUGAGGACAGGAAGAUAAUGACCUCGCUCUUUCUAGAAUAUGCUCUGUCAUAACAUGCUAUUGCUGUUAAGCGGAGCAGCACAGGGGAACCCAAAGAGCAGACUCAGACCAGGAAACAGGGAUGAACCAAUAUAUUUAUUGUAACACAGGGAGAGAUGAAGUGCAGAUCCAGGGAAGCUUGGAUGAGUUGUAGGAAACCAGAUGUGGAGGCUGAGGUUGGAGUGAGCUGGGGUUGGGACAGGGUAAACAGGUUCAAGGGAGUGUUGAUGAGUUGAUUCCAGAACAGGGUAGCAGGGUGGUGAGAUGUGGAACAGAAGACAGGAACCAGAGUCAGAGCGGCAAAACUGCAGUGAGAGGAGAAACAGUGUCAGGCAAGGAAAUAGGCACAGCAGGAUACAGGAUCUUAAAUAACAACACAUAGCUAGACGCAUGACUGACUGAAUGGAGAUUAGGAUCUGGCAGAGUGGAAGUGGCAGGACAGAGUAUUUGUAGAGGUCUUGAUUAUGGAAUGGGUUGCAGCUGGUGGGGAACGUCUCUGACUCCAGCACACCUGUCUCAUACUACACAAUCACACACACAGAGGGAGAGGGAGAGAACUGGGAGAAUGGCUGCAGGUCAAGGAGACACCGGAUGUCCACUAGGGGGUGUAGAACUCCCCUCUGUGUGUGUGACACUCCCCUCUGUAAUUAUUUGGACAGUGAGGCUCUAUACUGGUUUCAUAUGAGGUGAUAGUACAGAAUGUCACCUUAAAGUUCAGGUUAUUUUCAUACAUAUCUGUUUUACUGUUUAGAAAUGAAAGCACUUUAUGGAUCUAGUCCCGCUAUUUGAAGAACUAUUUGGACAAAUUCACAUAUUUCAUUACAGUAGUCAAAAGUUUUGUAUUUGAUCCCAUAUUUCUAGCACAAAAUGACUACAUCAAACUUGUUGGAUGCAUUUGCAGUUUGUUUUGGAUGAGUUUCGGAUUACGCUUUGCCAAUAGGAACUGAAUGGUGAAUAAUGUAUUGUGUUAUUUUGGAGACACUUUAAUUGUCAAUAAGAAUAGAAGAUGUUUCUGGACACUUCUACAUUAAUGUGGAUGCUACCAUAAUUAUCAAUAAUCAUGAAGGAAUUCUGAAUAAUAAUGAUGGAUAUGAUCAUUGUUCCUCUGUAACUUUAUCACUCAUCAUUAUUCACAAUUCAUUCAUGAUUAAUAAUCAUGGUAGCAUUCAGAAACAUCUUUUAUUCUUAUUUACAAUAAAAUUGACUCCAAAAUGACACAAUACAAUAUUCACCAUUCAGUUCCUAUUGGUUCCAACAUAAGCCGAAACACAACCAAAACAAACUGCAAAUUCAUAUAACAAGUUUGUAGAGUCACAAGUUUGAUGUAGUCAUUGCGUUCUAGGAAUAUGGGACCAAAUACUUAGCGGACUAAACUCCAUGGUGAAGGAAGUUUAAUGAGGAACUUCACUAACGGCAUGGAGCCGAGACCAGGCUUUGUGGAAUCUAUUUAUUUAUAUAUUACAUUUUUUAAAUUUAACCAGGCAAGUCAGUUAAGAACAAAUUCUUAUUUACAAUGACAGCCUACCCCGGUCAAACCCGGACAACGCUGGGCCAAUUGUGUGCUACCCUAUGGGAUUCCCAAUCACGGCCGGAUGUUAUACAGCCUGGAUUCGAACCAGAAACUGUAGUGACGCCUCUUGCACUGAGAUGCAGUGCCUUAGACCGCUGUGCCACUAUCUAUCUCCUACACAUAAAAUGUUUUAAAUGAUGAAACUCCUACCUUGUACUUAUGAUUGUCCUCUGUAUCUGUGUGCCUUUCUUUGUUUGAUCAAAUUCAUACUUUCUCAAUAAACAUGAAUCAAAUACAA
Long non-coding RNA from Oncorhynchus nerka (sockeye salmon), 5053 nucleotides. RefSeq lists it as uncharacterized. Lineage: Eukaryota; Metazoa; Chordata; Actinopteri; Salmoniformes; Salmonidae. The transcript has 3 exons. The record is from RefSeq and is a predicted model, not a curated record.